AUGGCGCGGCCUGACUGCCCAGACAAGUGUGGUAACGUCAGCAUCCCGUACCCGUUCGGCACCGGGAAUGGCUGCUUCCAAGAACCCUUUAGUGUCACAUGCAAUGCCAGUGGGCCAUAUCUAGCUUCAACCAGAGUUAGGAUACUGGACAUCAAUCUUAGCAUGGGUGAGAUUCGUGUUCUGAACCCACGUAUAGCAUGGGAAUGCAACUACACCGACGGCACCAAUAGCAGCGGUUUGGAUGGGUUAAGACUUGAUCCUUUUCAUAAGCUUUCCUACACCAAGAACAAGUUGAUAUCGAUCGGUUGUGCUACACUUGGAUUUAUCGGAGGAAUCACCAAGGGCGAGAACCAGCUUUUGUUCCCCAUUGUUAACUCAUGCUUUUCAUUCUGGACUGGUUCAAGUUCAAUCAUUCAUAUAUCAUCUCUACAAAUUUCGCAACUAAAUAUACAGAUGGGGUCCCUUUGGUACUAGAUUGGGUUGUUGGUAAUAAAAGUUGUUCGGAAGCCACCAAGAUGGGGUCAUAGUAUGCCUGUCAAGCCAAGAACAGCCAAUGCAUUAAUGUGUCCAAUGGCCCUGGUUACCGCUGCAACUGCUCUCAAGGUUAUGAGGGCAAUCCCUACCUACAAGGAGGGUGCCAAGAUAUCAAUGAGUGCGAACCUCCAAACCAGUCCUUCUAUCCUUGCAAAGGUAAUUGCAGAAAUACCGGAUGGAAACUACAUCUGUCUAUGCCCAUCAGGAUUCAGGAGCGAUGAUCCCAAGAGCAUACCCUGCGUUCCAGCUGAUCCAAAGAAAGCGCUGAAGGUGGUUUUAGGCAUAUCCUUCAGUGUUGUCUUCCUCAUGGUUUGUAUCCUUGCUCUACGGGCUGAAUAUCAGAAAAGGAAGCUUGCCGAAGAGAAGGACAAAUUCUUUGAUCAGAAUGGUGGUCAGAUAUUAUAUCGCCAAAUUAUGUCAAAAGAAGUCGACACGUUGAAGAUAUUCACACAAGAAGAUCUGAAGAAAGCUACAAACGAUUUUGACAAGAGCAAAGAACUGGGCAGGGGUGGUCAUGGCACUGUCUACAAGGGCGUUCUGAAGGAUAACAGGGUAGUCGCCGUGAAACGCUCAAAGAUAAUGAACGUGGCCGAAACUGGUGAAUUCGUGCAGGAGAUUAUUAUACUUUCACAGACCAACCACCGGAAUGUGGUCAGGCUUCUGGGCUGCUGCUUAGAGGUGGAAGUCCCCAUACUGGUCUAUGAAUUCAUCCCAAAUGGCACUCUAUUUGAGUUCAUCCAUCAUAGCUACGGGAGUCCACCUCCCUCGCUGGACACCCGUCUUAGGAUUGCUCAAGAAUCUGCCGAAGCACUGGCGUAUCUGCAUUUGUCCAUGAAUCACCCUAUAGUGCAUGGGGAUGUCAAGUCUAUGAACAUUCUCUUGGACGACAACUACAUGGCGAAGGUGACUGACUUUGGGGCGUCUAGGAUGCUCCCCAAGGACGCGGCCCAGUUCAUGACGAUCCUGCAAGAGCGACAACUCACGGAGAAGAGUGAUGUCUACAGUUUCGGGGUCGUGCUGCUGGAGCUGAUCACAGGGAAGACAGAGAUCUAUAACGACGGGCCCAAUGAAGGCAAGAGCCUCGUGCGGUCCUUCCUUCUCGCGAUGAAGGAGGACAGCCUUGAGGACAUACUGGACCCGAGCAUCGUGCGCGCAGGGACGACGACGCUGCUGGGAGAAGUGGCCGAGCUGGGGAGGAUGUGCUUGGGUCCCAUGGGUGAAGAGAGGCCUUCAAUGACCCAGGUGGCCGACAGGCUGAAGGCUCUGCGAAGCACCUGGAGGGAAGAGCGGGUGCUGGACCGUGCCAUGACGGAAAAUAUGGUCGUGCCCAUGCCACCUGCGGCAGCUCCGAUGCCUUUGGAUCUCGCGUCAUCGUCGUCGGGAGCCCCCUCGACGGUGCCGGACAUGUCCGGAAUGAGCAUGGAGGCACCCAGAUGA
RNAcentral lists this ribosomal RNA (1971 nucleotides) under Triticum aestivum (bread wheat). RNAcentral's name for it is "partial small subunit ribosomal RNA". The record is from RNAcentral. Lineage: Eukaryota; Viridiplantae; Streptophyta; Magnoliopsida; Poales; Poaceae.